GCCCGGAUAGCUCAGUCGGUAGAGCAGGGGAUUGAAAAUCCCCGUGUCCUUGGUUCGAUUCCGAGUCCAUGCC
This 73-nucleotide transfer RNA is filed under the name Escherichia coli. RNAcentral describes it as "tRNA-Phe". It matches the Rfam family "tRNA". Rfam says of the family: Transfer RNA (tRNA) molecules are approximately 80 nucleotides in length. Their secondary structure includes four short double-helical elements and three loops (D, anti-codon, and T loops). The record is from RNAcentral. Lineage: Bacteria; Pseudomonadati; Pseudomonadota; Gammaproteobacteria; Enterobacterales; Enterobacteriaceae.